This 440-nucleotide ribosomal RNA is filed under the name uncultured bacterium. RNAcentral describes it as "partial 16S ribosomal RNA". It matches the Rfam family "Bacterial small subunit ribosomal RNA", at positions 338 to 795 of the family's 1533-position model. The record is from RNAcentral.
CCUACGGGGGGCAGCAGUGGGGGAUAUUGCACAAUGGGGGGAACCCUGAUGCAGCGACGCCGCGUGGGUGAAGAAGGGCCUCGGCGCGUAAAGCCCUGUCAGCAGGGAAGAAAAUGACGGUACCUGAAGAAGAAGCCCCGGCUAACGACGUGCCAGCAGCCGCGGUAAUACGAAGGGGGCAAGCGUGAGCCGGAUUGCCGGGGUGGCAAGGGGGCGCAGACGGGGGGGCAAGCCAGGAGGGAAAGCCCGGGGCGCAACCCCGGGACUGCUCUUGGAACUGCGUGGCUGGAGUGCAGGAGGGGCAGGCGGACUUCCUGGUGUAGCGGUGAAAUGCGUAGAUAUCAGGCGGAACACCGGUGGCGAAGGCGGCCUGCUGGACUGCAACUGACGUUGAGGCCCGAAAGCGUGGGGAGCAAACAGGAUUAGAUACCCUAGUAGUC